AGAGUUUGAUUCUGGCUCGAGGAUGAACGCUGGACGGCAGGCUUAAUACAUGCAAGCCGGACGGUAACAUGGCUGUAGCAAUACGGCUGAUGACGAGUGGCGCGCGGGUGCGUAACGCGUAUGCAACCUGCCCCCGACCGGGACAAACGCUGAGAAAUCGGCGCUAAUAUCCCAUGCUGACUAGGGACGGCAUCGUCCGUAGUCGAAAGAUUCAUUGGUCGGGGAUGGGCAUGCGUAACAUUAGCUCGUUGGCGGGGUAACGGCCCACCAAGGCGACGAUGUUUAGGGGUUCUGAGAGGAAGGUCCCCCACACUGGAACUGAGACACGGUCCAGACUCCUACGGGAGGCAGCAGUAGGGAAUAUUGGGCAAUGGGAGCAAUCCUGACCCAGCCCAUGCCGCGUGAAGGAAGAAGGCCCUACGGGUUGUAAACUUCUUUUGCCGCGGAGUAACCCCGGGGACGUGUUCCCGGCUGAGAGUACGCGGCGAAUAAGCACCGGCUAACUCCGUGCCAGCCGCUGC
RNAcentral lists this ribosomal RNA (521 nucleotides) under uncultured bacterium. RNAcentral describes it as "bacterial SSU rRNA". It matches the Rfam family "Bacterial small subunit ribosomal RNA", at positions 8 to 518 of the family's 1533-position model. The record is from RNAcentral.